Molecule: ribosomal RNA, 492 nt
Filed under: uncultured bacterium
Lineage: Bacteria
Description: partial 16S ribosomal RNA
Rfam family: Bacterial small subunit ribosomal RNA
Source: RNAcentral
AGUGAACGCUGGCGGUAGGCCUAACACAUGCAAGUCGAACGGCAGCACAGUAAGAGCUUGCUCUUACGGGUGGCGAGUGGCGGACGGGUGCGGAAUACAUCGGAAUCUACUUUUUCGUGGGGGAUAACGUAGGGAAACUUACGCUAAUACCGCAUACGACCUACGGGUGAAAGCAGGGGAUCUUCGGACCUUGCGCGAUUGAAUGAGCCGAUGUCGGAUUAGCUAGUUGGCGGGGUAAAGGCCCACCAAGGCGACGAUCCGUAGCUGGUCUGAGAGGAUGAUCAGCCACACUGGAACUGAGACACGGUCCAGACUCCUACGGGAGGCAGCAGUGGGGAAUAUUGGACAAUGGGCGCAAGCCUGAUCCAGCCAUACCGCGUGGGUGAAGAAGGCCUUCGGGUUGUAAAGCCCUUUUGUUGGGAAAGAAAAGCAGCAGGUUAAUACCCCGCUGUUCUGACGGUACCCAAAGAAUAAGCACCGGCUAACUUCGUA